RNAcentral lists this transfer RNA (74 nucleotides) under Hyphomonadaceae bacterium. Its description in RNAcentral is "tRNA-Met". It matches the Rfam family "tRNA". Rfam says of the family: Transfer RNA (tRNA) molecules are approximately 80 nucleotides in length. Their secondary structure includes four short double-helical elements and three loops (D, anti-codon, and T loops). Lineage: Bacteria; Pseudomonadati; Pseudomonadota; Alphaproteobacteria; Hyphomonadales; Hyphomonadaceae. The record is from RNAcentral.
GGUGGGGUAGCUCAGCUGGUUAGAGCGCAGGACUCAUAAUCCUGAGGUCGGGUGUUCAAGUCACCUCCCCACUA